Long non-coding RNA from Parasteatoda tepidariorum (common house spider), 377 nucleotides. Lineage: Eukaryota; Metazoa; Arthropoda; Arachnida; Araneae; Theridiidae. The record is from RefSeq and is a predicted model, not a curated record.
UGUUAUCCCGUCUGAGAGUGUCUUAAAUUUUUAAUUUUGCAAUACCUGCUUUCAAAAAGUAGGUUUCGCAAUUUGUGUUUGUUCAGGUUUGUCUUUCGACAUUGUUCGGAAACGAGUAAUCCUUCUCGAUUUCGAUCAGAGAGCAUGCAUUUAGGAUCGAUGCGUAUCUCUGAGUGAACAGCUGUUGCAAUUGCAUAGCAAGACUUUGUAAUAAGAAGUAGAUGAUUGAGAACAAUGGCAUGCAAUAUUUUAAUGAUUGAGAACAAUGUCAUGCAAUCACUAUGUGAGAUCCAUAUGUGCAAUAAAGCAAUAUGUGUAAUUAUUUUUAUGGUUGAUGUAUUUAAGAGAUUAAAAUAAAAAUUUUGUCAUCAAAGUGA